Molecule: long non-coding RNA, 812 nt
Filed under: Lactuca sativa (garden lettuce)
Lineage: Eukaryota; Viridiplantae; Streptophyta; Magnoliopsida; Asterales; Asteraceae
Description: long non-coding RNA (LSAT_LNC009037)
Source: RNAcentral
UUUUCACUACUUGGAAAAUGUUUUAAUUAGGUAAAUCAGUUUUCAUUAUUUUCAAGUACAUUUCUUUCUGGGUCUUUUUUUCAUUAACAUCUUCAUUAUUUUCAGUUUUUUUAUUUGAAUUAUCUUGAGAUUCUACCACUUAUAAAAGUUUUUUCUUAAACUUCUUAAACAUUACUGACAUUGCCUAUAUUUUCACUACUUGUAUGUUGCUCUAAAAUGCAAGUUGUUAAGGGUGUAAAGCUUUUGAGUGCACAUAGUAUUUUGAGUAAUCAUGAGUGUCAUUACCUUGAAGUUAAUGAAAACAGUUCACCUUUUGAAAGAACCUUCUUCUAUUUGUCAAGUGUCGGGUCAUGGCAGGAAUCCGGGAGACAGAAAGAGCAUCAACAAACAAAAGAACAAACACCUACCAUUGUUUUAUUCUAAGAGGUGGAAGUGCAUCAAUAAAAGACAUGGUAUCUAGUAAACAACCCUACCAAUGAAUAAUUAUUAUCAUUAUAAUCACUCAGUUUUAAAUGUAUUUAGAUUUAUUUUUCAAGAAAAAAGUUAUCCAAUUGUAGCAAAUGGCAUCCAAAUACCACUCUACUAGAGAUAUAAUUGGGUAACUUUUUCAAAGUAGAAACAAUCAAAUGACUUUCUGGAAAAAGAUGGAAAGCAAUAAACAGAACCGAAAGUAUGAUAAGAAUAAAUGAAAGUAGGUUGUAAUUAUAUUUACCAACAUGGAUUCAAUGGUAGAAACGGGAGUGGGAAGUCUGAGAUGAUGAACUAAAUUUUUUAAAUAUAAAAUAGUUGUAAAAUUAAUCUUGUUUUUGUAG